UACGGAGGGUGCAAACGUUGCUCGGAAUCAUUGGGCGUAAAGCGCACGUAGGCGGCCUGACAAGUCGGGUGUGAAAGCCUUCGGCUCAACCGAGGAAGUGCACUCGAAACUGGCAAGCUUGAGUAUGGAAGAGGGUCGCGGAAUUCCCGGUGUAGAGGUGAAAUUCGUAGAUAUCGGGAGGAACACCAGCGGCGAAGGCGGCGACCUGGGCCAAUACUGACGCUGAGGAGCGAAAGCGUGGGGAGCGAACAGG
RNAcentral lists this ribosomal RNA (253 nucleotides) under uncultured bacterium. RNAcentral's name for it is "partial 16S ribosomal RNA". It matches the Rfam family "Bacterial small subunit ribosomal RNA", at positions 524 to 776 of the family's 1533-position model. The record is from RNAcentral.